Non-coding RNA from Kalmusia sp. IMI 367209, 98 nucleotides. Lineage: Eukaryota; Fungi; Ascomycota; Dothideomycetes; Pleosporales; Didymosphaeriaceae. The record is from the annotation of a GenBank genome assembly.
GGUGAGAUGGCCGAGUUGGUUAUGGCGCCAGGUUAAGGUUCUCUUAACAUCAUUUCCUGGUCACGAAAGUGGCGUGGGUUCGAGUCCCACUCUCAUCA